GACGAACCGUGCGAACGUUGUUCGGAAUCACUGGGCUUAAAGGGUGCGUAGGCGGCUAGGCAAGUCGGGUGUGAAAGCCCUCGGCUCAACCGAGGAAUUGCGCCCGAAACUGCUUGGCUUGAGGGAGAUAGGGGCGCGUGGAACUUCGGGUGGAGCGGUGAAAUGCGUUGAGAUCCGAAGGAACGCCGGUGGCGAAAGCGACGCGCUGGGUCUCUUCUGACGCUGAGGCACGAAAGCUAGGGGAGCGAACGGG
RNAcentral lists this unclassified non-coding RNA (253 nucleotides) under uncultured Planctomycetia bacterium. RNAcentral describes it as "contains 16S-23S intergenic spacer region". It matches the Rfam family "Bacterial small subunit ribosomal RNA", at positions 524 to 776 of the family's 1533-position model. The record is from RNAcentral. Lineage: Bacteria; Pseudomonadati; Planctomycetota; Planctomycetia.